This 391-nucleotide ribosomal RNA is filed under the name Ralstonia sp. 2-3/A1. Its description in RNAcentral is "bacterial SSU rRNA". It matches the Rfam family "Bacterial small subunit ribosomal RNA", at positions 506 to 897 of the family's 1533-position model. Lineage: Bacteria; Pseudomonadati; Pseudomonadota; Betaproteobacteria; Burkholderiales; Burkholderiaceae. The record is from RNAcentral.
UGCCAGCAGCCGCGGUAAUACGUAGGGUCCAAGCGUUAAUCGGAAUUACUGGGCGUAAAGCGUGCGCAGGCGGUUGUGCAAGACCGAUGUGAAAUCCCCGGGCUUAACCUGGGAAUUGCAUUGGUGACUGCACGGCUAGAGUGUGUCAGAGGGGGGUAGAAUUCCACGUGUAGCAGUGAAAUGCGUAGAGAUGUGGAGGAAUACCGAUGGCGAAGGCAGCCCCCUGGGAUAACACUGACGCCCAUGCACGAAAGCGUGGGGAGCAAACAGGAUUAGAUACCCUGGUAGUCCACGCCCUAAACGAUGUCAACUAGUUGUUGGGGAUUCAUUUCCUUAGUAACGUAGCUACCGCGUGAAGUUGACCGCCUGGGGAGUACGGUCGCAAGAUUAA